CCCAUCCAAAAUAUUGUCAAAUAGGGAUACCAAGAUUAACCGGUUUUACGGUUACCACGAUUAUAAAAGGACACGAUAGGUUAACCUUAAGAGUUUUAAAAGCUAUGGUUUACCGCUCCAAUCUCACUGAUAGUUGAGCAAAGCAGAAGGACGUGCCACCCAAAAACAAUGGAGGUCAGCAGUGUAGGACCAUUUUGAGUGUCUUAAAGACGACCAAGGUGCAAGGCCUGUGCUAGGAAUGUUGCAGCAAUACGUUGAAUAUAAAACAUCUUCGAGAUAAUACUUUGCAAAUCACAUUUUGUUUUUUGCCGUAUCGUCCAGGCUGAUUUUGUAAUGUUGUGAAGUUAACUGGAAGCAUUUUCUUCCAAUUGUUGCUUUCCCCAGGACUGGAUUUCUCAUAAGAAGAGCUCGCUCCACAAUGAGAACUGCAAGUCUUUCCGCGUCAGGUAUCCGGACUGGGAUGGGAAAGCAUUACCCGUCACUAGCUACACUCCUUCCAGUACUUCAUCGCUCAGCCCCCCAAGUCACAACGUCCCGGAGCAGACAGACAAGAGCAGGUCCCAGUCUCCACACAGAGGAAAAAAGAAAGACAGAAAAAGAUCCCGCUCGGCCUCUCCCUCCUCCUCUCGCCGGCCGUGCUCUCGCUCUAGAUGUCAUG
This 658-nucleotide long non-coding RNA is filed under the name Neogobius melanostomus (round goby). Its description in RNAcentral is "lncRNA (ENSNMLG00000012023.1)". Lineage: Eukaryota; Metazoa; Chordata; Actinopteri; Gobiiformes; Gobiidae. The record is from RNAcentral.